UACGUAGGGGGCAAGCGUUGUCCGGAAUCAUUGGGCGUAAAGAGCGUGUAGGCGGUCCGGUAAGUCGGCUGUGAAAGUCCAGGGCUCAACCCUGGGAUGCCGGUCGAUACUGCCGGACUAGAGUUCGGAAGAGGCGAGUGGAAUUCCCGGUGUAGCGGUGAAAUGCGCAGAUAUCAGGAAGAACACCGAUGGCGAAGGCAGCUCUCUGGGACGGUACUGACGCUGAGGCGCGAAAGCCAGGGGAGCAAACGGG
Molecule: ribosomal RNA, 253 nt
Filed under: uncultured bacterium
Lineage: Bacteria
Description: partial 16S ribosomal RNA
Rfam family: Bacterial small subunit ribosomal RNA
Source: RNAcentral